CUGAGUAGGGGCAAUAAGGUGAUAGGACAUGGACUUGGCUUACUGGGCCGGGUCUUGGGUCAGUGGUAUUCUGGCCCGCCCUAUCCAAGUAGGGAGUUGACCCAUGUGUCCUGGCUGAAAGGUUAGGCUGCCUGGGUACUAAAGUGGAGGGGACUGCGUGAGGCUGGAUUCACAGAGCAACGAAAACCUCCCGCUCUUGUCAGUGGAAGGAUAACGGGUCUGUGCCACCCGGAUCCAUUAGCGCCUGGUUGAUUGAGAUCUCAGA
This 265-nucleotide signal recognition particle RNA is filed under the name Parahoeflea olei. RNAcentral describes it as "Hoeflea olei Plant signal recognition particle RNA". It matches the Rfam family "Plant signal recognition particle RNA", at positions 29 to 293 of the family's 305-position model. Lineage: Bacteria; Pseudomonadati; Pseudomonadota; Alphaproteobacteria; Hyphomicrobiales; Rhizobiaceae. The record is from Rfam by way of RNAcentral.